CUACGUGCCAGCAGCCGCGGUAAUACGUAGGGCGCGAGCGUUGUCCGGAAUUAUUGGGCGUAAAGAGCUUGUAGGCGGUUUGUCGCGUCUGCUGUGAAAGGCCGGAGCUUAACUCCGUGUAUUGCAGUGGGUACGGGCAGACUAGAGUGCAGUAGGGGAGACUGGAAUUCCUGGUGUAGCGGUGGAAUGCGCAGAUAUCAGGAGGAACACCGAUGGCGAAGGCAGGUCUCUGGGCUGUAACUGACGCUGAGAAGCGAAAGCAUGGGGAGCGAACAGGAUUAGAUACCCUGGUAGUCCAUGCCGUAAACGUUGGGCACUAGGUGUGGGGGACAUUCCACGUUUUCCGCGCCGUAGCUAACGCAUUAAGUGCCCCGCCUGGGGAGUACGGCCGCAAGGCUAAAACUCAAAGAAAUUGACGGGGGCCCGCACAAGCGGCGGAGCAUGCGGAUUAAUUCGACGCAACGCGAGGAACCUUACCAGAUCUUGACAUCCC
This 493-nucleotide ribosomal RNA is filed under the name uncultured bacterium. RNAcentral's name for it is "bacterial SSU rRNA". It matches the Rfam family "Bacterial small subunit ribosomal RNA", at positions 501 to 990 of the family's 1533-position model. The record is from RNAcentral.